RNAcentral lists this ribosomal RNA (521 nucleotides) under uncultured archaeon. Its description in RNAcentral is "bacterial SSU rRNA". It matches the Rfam family "Archaeal small subunit ribosomal RNA", at positions 1 to 531 of the family's 1478-position model. The record is from RNAcentral.
UUCCGGUUGAUCCUGCCAGAGGUCACUGCUAUCGGGGUUCGAUUAAGCCAUGCGAGUCGAGAGGGUUCGGCCCUCGGCGUACUGCUCAGUAACACGUGGAUAACCUGCCCUAGGGGAGGGGAUAACCCCGGGAAACUGGGGAUAAUACCCUAUAGGUUACAGAUGCUGGAAUGCCCUGUAACCAAAAGCUCCGGCGCCCUAGGAUGGAUCUGCGGCCGAUUAGGUUGUUGUUGGGGUAACGGCCCAACAAGCCCGUAAUCGGUACGGGUUGUGGGAGCAAGAGCCCGGAGUUGGAUUCUGAGACACGAAUCCAGGCCCUACGGGGCGCAGCAGGCGCGAAACCUUUACAAUGCGGGCAACCGUGAUAAGGGAACCUCGAGUGCCUGUAAACGCAGGCUGUUCAGGUGUUUAAAACGCACCUGGAGAAAGGGCCGGGCAAGACCGGUGCCAGCCGCCGCGGUAAUACCGGCGGCUCGAGUGGUGGCCGCUUUUAUUGGGCUUAAAGCGUUCGUAGCUGGGUU